RNAcentral lists this transfer RNA (91 nucleotides) under Enhygromyxa salina. RNAcentral's name for it is "tRNA-Glu". Lineage: Bacteria; Pseudomonadati; Myxococcota; Nannocystales; Nannocystaceae. The record is from RNAcentral.
GACGGUCAGCGCGUCGGGGUGGGCCUCGGUCUCGGCGAGGAUCCGCGUGGCCAUGGCCGCGUCACGCUCGUUCCACUCGUGCUCCCCGUCG